Stegostoma tigrinum is the source of this 447-nucleotide long non-coding RNA. RefSeq lists it as uncharacterized. The transcript has 3 exons. NCBI's taxonomy places the organism in Eukaryota, Metazoa, Chordata, Chondrichthyes, Orectolobiformes, Stegostomatidae. The record is from RefSeq and is a predicted model, not a curated record.
GGAAGAAGAAGAAAGCUCCUUAAGGAUUCCUUACCUUGAUUAGCCUUGCUUCCCGCGGUGGCCCCUGAAAACAAAAUGACACUGUCAAAAUCAUGGAAUCAAAACAGGAAGGGAAAGAUGAUGAUCAGCUCCAGAGAAAUCAUGGGUUAUUGGAAAUAUGGAGUAAAGCACCUGUCAUGGAUCAUUGGAGGACAUGGACGAAGGCGGUCAGUCAAUCUCAAUCAUCCUUUGUUCCUUUGAAGAUUUGUGUGCUAUAGCUAGGCGAGGAGCAUCAAGAACACAACAUCUCCUUUCAAGCGAUUGCCACCUGGUACACCACUUGAAUAGAAGGCAUCUGGAAUUCAUCCAAAUAACUCGCACUUCACAUUUACCUCCAACAACACAGAAGAUACAAUGACUGCAGCACAAGGAAGCAGUCAUUGUUACCCAUAGGGCUGCCUUCAGGCA